AAAGAUUAAGCCAUGCAUGUCUAAGUAUAAGCAAUUAUACCGUGAAACUGCGAAUGGCUCAUUAAAUCAGUUAUCGUUUAUUUGAUAGUACCUUACUACUUGGAUAACCGUGGUAAUUCUAGAGCUAAUACAUGCUGAAAACCCCAACUUCGGGAGGGGUGUAUUUAUUAGAUAAAAAACCAACGCCCUUCGGGGCUUCUUGGUGAUUCAUGAUAACUUCACGGAUCGCAUGGCCUUGCGCCGGCGACGGUUCAUUCAAAUUUCUGCCCUAUCAACUUUCGAUGGUAAGGUAUUGGCUUACCAUGGUUU
Molecule: ribosomal RNA, 309 nt
Filed under: uncultured fungus
Lineage: Eukaryota; Fungi
Also listed under: 1 other name
Description: SSU rRNA
Rfam family: Eukaryotic small subunit ribosomal RNA
Source: RNAcentral